UUUUAAAUGAACUGAGCUCUAUUUUGGAGGAAAUUAGCACUUUUUAAAUUUUAUGUAAUAUCUGUUUGUCUCCUGACAGCAUCUUUCUGGAGAACCUCACAACUACAAAUGAUUAAGGAACCUUGAGUCUAACAGCAAUCACACACGGCCACCUGAAUGGAAUGGGAGACCAUAAUGCUGAGUGGGAUAAGCCAGGCAUAGAAACACAGAGACAAUUAUCUCUCUGCUGCUUGGAAUAUCUAACAGUCUAAGCACAGAGGUACACUUGGAGAAGCACUCGAACAAAUCGUGGCGAGAAUUAAGUUGAAAUAUAUUGAGCAGCCCAGCCCCAAGGUACCCAUAUAAAACUACAGUGUAACCUUUGGAAAACUCUGAUGACCUUGUGAAUUGACCGGAAACAUCAAAGAAGGAGGUGAGGUUGUGCACACUGGAAACUCACAAGGAAGAGUCACUUUCUGGGGUGCAACAACGCGCUUUCUGCGUAAGUGUCUGUGUUACGGCAAAUCCUCGAGUUCGAUGAGCACAGAAAGGUCCCAGCGAGUGAUCAGUUUGAAAGGAAUUAUUUGGAACCAGAAUCCUCUUGCUUCUUUUAGAGUCUUCUUGCUUCCUGUAUGUGCACGCCCUCAAUACUUUAUUUGUAACAAGCAAAAGAAAUUUGAUUUAUUUCUUCCUGUCAUAUGAAAACUCUCAAGGGUCCAUAAGCUGGGAACCUGGUCAUCAAAAUGGAAAUCUGGGGAGAUUUUGAGGAGGUGGAGUCUAAUGACAAUUCAUCAGCUCUUUAGGGAUAUGACCUCAAAAGGGAUUAAAAUAUUUCCCCACGGAAUCCAGUUCAAUUCCAAUGAGAAAUGAGAAGAGAAGAUAAGAAAGAGAAAGCUCAUCCUGGCCAACUCUCCUUCCCAAUUUAAGUACGUUUGUUUAAGUCUACACAUACAUGUGAAGCUACUGCUGCCCUCACCAGGAGCUGAGCCAGCCAGGGCUUGCCUGAUCUUGGACUUUCAAUCUAAACUGUGGACUAAAUAAACUUUUCUUCUUCAAAAUAGCUUGCUUCUUGUAUUUCGUGACAGUAACGAAAAGUUGACCAAGAGAACUAACAUUUUGAUUUAAGUUUGUUUGUCCUCUUCUCUAGUCUCACUGUUUUUUGUUUUAAUGAUACCUAGUUCUGUAUGAUUCCUCAUACCCAUUUUAGAACAUUUUAGUCAACAAUGUUACAAUGUCAAAAGAAUGUGUAUUUCACAAAGGAAUAUUUCAUCGUCAUUUCCAGGUUUAAGUUUCUGGAAACUAAGCGAGUGUUGUUCACAUUAGAUUCGAUAGUCAGAUUGGCAUUUGUUGGGACGGUAUUAGUUUGGAAUAAUUCGUAUGUAUAAUAGAAUUAGAAUCCUCUUUCCUUUUGGAUCAGAUGGUGGUCUGUUUUGGACAAUUUUCCAAAUAUAUGUGUACCUAUGUUGCUCUGUAACUUAAAAUAGAGUGAUAAAACAUGGCUAAUUCUGUUUCUCUUGAGAAGUAUGUUCUUUAUCAUAACAGAGUUAAGAUUCUUGAAACAAAAUUUUUUGUGAAUAAAGUAACAGUGUGUGCUGUUUUGGAA
This is a long non-coding RNA of Cavia porcellus (domestic guinea pig), 1582 nucleotides long. RefSeq lists it as uncharacterized. The record is from RefSeq and is a predicted model, not a curated record. NCBI's taxonomy places the organism in Eukaryota, Metazoa, Chordata, Mammalia, Rodentia, Caviidae. The transcript is spliced from 5 exons.